AUUGAACGCUGGCGGCAGGCCUAACACAUGCAAGUCGAGCGGUAGAGAGGUGCUUGCAUCUCUUGAGAGCGGCGGACGGGUGAGUAAUGCCUAGGAAUCUGCCUAGUGGUGGGGGAUAACGUUCGGAAACGGACGCUAAUACCGCAUACGUCCUACGGGAGAAAGCGGGGGAUCUUCGGACCUCGCGCCAUUAGAUGAGCCUAGGUCGGAUUAGCUAGUUGGUGAGGUAAUGGCUCACCAAGGCGACGAUCCGUAACUGGUCUGAGAGGAUGAUCAGUCACACUGGAACUGAGACACGGUCCAGACUCCUACGGGAGGCAGCAGUGGGGAAUAUUGGACAAUGGGCGCAAGCCUGAUCCAGCCAUGCCGCGUGUGUGAAGAAGGCCUCGGUUGUAAGACACUUCUAGCGAGGAGGAAGGGUUA
RNAcentral lists this ribosomal RNA (423 nucleotides) under uncultured bacterium. RNAcentral's name for it is "bacterial SSU rRNA". It matches the Rfam family "Bacterial small subunit ribosomal RNA", at positions 30 to 455 of the family's 1533-position model. The record is from RNAcentral.